RNAcentral lists this ribosomal RNA (200 nucleotides) under uncultured eukaryote. RNAcentral's name for it is "partial 18S ribosomal RNA". It matches the Rfam family "Eukaryotic small subunit ribosomal RNA", at positions 588 to 792 of the family's 1831-position model. The record is from RNAcentral.
GCUCCAAAAGCGUAUAUUAAAGUUGUUGCAGUUAAAACGCUCGUAGUCGGAUUUCGGGGCGAGCCUGCCGGUCUGCCGAUGGGUAUGCACUGGCAGGGUCGUCCUUCCUUCCGGAGACUGUCCUACUCUUAACUGAGCGGGGUCGGGAGACGGGAUCGUUUACUUUGAAAAAAUCAGAGUGUUUCAAGCAGGCAGCUCGC